Molecule: ribosomal RNA, 498 nt
Filed under: uncultured bacterium
Lineage: Bacteria
Description: partial 16S ribosomal RNA
Rfam family: Bacterial small subunit ribosomal RNA
Source: RNAcentral
GACGAACGCUGGCGGCGUGCCUAAUACAUGCAAGUCGAGCGGACAGACGGGAACUUUCUCCCUCUCCGUCAGGGGCCGACGGGUUGGUUACACGGUGGCAAACUUCCUUUAAAACUGGGGUAACCUCGGGAAAACGGGGCCUAUUACCGGAUACUAUUUCCCUCACCUGAGGGCAAUAUGAAAGGUCGGAUCUGGCUAUCCCUUACAGUUGGUCCCGCGGCGCAUUAGCUAGUUGGUAAGGUAACGGCUUACCAAGGCAACGAUGCGUAGCCGACCUGAGAGGGUGAUCGGCCACACUGGAACUGAGACACGGCCCAGACUCCUACGGGAGGCAGCAGUAGGGAAUCUUCCGCAAUGGACGAAAGUCUGACGGAGCAACGCCGCGUGAGUGAUGAAGGGUUUCGGAUCGUAAAACUCUGUUGUCAGGGAAGAACAAGUACCGGAGUAACUGCCGGUAUCUUGACGGUACCUGAUCAGAAAGCCACGGCUAACUACGUG